GGUGAACGCUCGCGGGAGGCCUAACACAUGCAAGCCGAGCGGUAGAGUUUCUUCGGAAACUUGAGAGCGGCGCACGGGUGCGUAACACGUGUGCAACCUACCUUUAUCUGGGGGAUAGCCUUUCGAAAGGAAGAUUAAUACCCCAUAAUAUAAUGAUUGGCAUCAAUUAUUAUUGAAAACUCCGGUGGAUAGAGAUGGGCACGCGCAAGAUUAGAUAGUUGGUGAGGUAACGGCUCACCAAGUCAAUGAUCUUUAGGGGUCCUGAGAGGGAGAUCCCCCACACUGGUACUGAGACACGGACCAGACUCCUACGGGAGGCAGCAGUGAGGAAUAUUGGACAAUGGGUGAGAGCCUGAUCCAGCCAUCCCGCGUGAAGGAUGACGGUCCUAUGGAUUGUAAACUUCUUUUGUACAGGGAUAAACCUACCCUCGUGAGGGUAGCUGAAGGUACUGUACGAAUAAGCACCGGCUAACUCCGUG
This 479-nucleotide ribosomal RNA is filed under the name uncultured bacterium. RNAcentral describes it as "partial 16S ribosomal RNA". It matches the Rfam family "Bacterial small subunit ribosomal RNA", at positions 28 to 507 of the family's 1533-position model. The record is from RNAcentral.